GUGUUGUAUGAAAGGGGAUAAGGUCCGCACUCCCACUGACAAGGAUGGAAGAGGCCCUUGGAGAUUAAAAAAAAAUGCAUACAUUUAAGGCAUUGCCGCCAACUGCAUGGCAUCAAAACAUUUUUAA
Molecule: non-coding RNA, 127 nt
Filed under: Spermophilus dauricus (Daurian ground squirrel)
Lineage: Eukaryota; Metazoa; Chordata; Mammalia; Rodentia; Sciuridae
Source: RNAcentral